This 2786-nucleotide long non-coding RNA is filed under the name Lathyrus oleraceus (garden pea). RNAcentral's name for it is "Pisum sativum (pea) long non-coding RNA (PSAT_LNC019894)". The record is from RNAcentral. Lineage: Eukaryota; Viridiplantae; Streptophyta; Magnoliopsida; Fabales; Fabaceae.
AUAUAUAUAUAUAUAAUUAAAUAAUCACAUUCACAAUAGUUCACAACAUUUUAACAUACAUUUUAUUAGACACAAAAUAUUGACAAUCUCUCCUAAAUCAUUUCAUAUAGAACUUGAUAAAUAAUGUAGUAUUUUGAAAAAUAAUCUAAUAUAGUACUAUAAAAAAUAUUCAAUUUAGUAUCAACAAAAUCACCUUAAAGACAAUCAAUUGCAUCAUUAUAUUAUCACCUUAAAGACAAUCAAUGAUGUAACAAUUUAAUAAUAUUUAAAAUACUCAUUUCAAUCUUGUAUUAUCGAUACUUUAUUUAACUGUUUAAAUUUCUAAAUCCAAUACAACAUUUCCUUCACUCGCACACAAUAUUGUUUUGCAAUAAAAUGGAAAGUCACUUUAAGCUACGAGAAUUUAUUUUCUUCAUAAAUGAAAAAUCAAGUCUUAUCCUUUCCAUUCCGCAAGGGUUAUGCUCCCGGUAAGAUUUCACAUUCUCUCGUUUUAAUCAAAAGAUGUAUUAUAAUAUUAAUCAAAGAUUCUUUAAAAAGUAAUUAAAGAUGUUAAACGUGUAAACAAUCAUAGAUGUGUCAGGAACCCUCGUAUUAAAAUAUUUAUAAGUAAAAUAGUCAUUUUACUUUAAAAGUAUAAUUUAGUAUUUUUACAAAGUGUUUAUGAUUAUUUUAAUUAAGAUUUAAAGAAUUAUAGUUACUCCUUAUAAUUAUAAUCAGGAGUCACCAAAACAUUUUGGAUCAAAUGACGGAUUGAGGGUAUUUUUAUAACUUCAUAUUAUUUAAGAGGGGUUUUAUCUUGAUUUCCAAAAGAGUUAUUUGUAUUUGAAGGUAGAUUAAAUAUUUAUGAAGAGUUUAAGAAAAUUAAUUAAUUGCUUAGUAGAUGAUUAAAAGAAAUGGUCACCUGAUGAUUUAAAAUAAGAGGAUAACAUAAUUAAGAUUUUUUAGGGAUUAAUGAGGGCAAUUAUAGUCAUUUUGGAUGCAAAUCUUCUCUUGCUUGUGUCUUAUGUAUUAUGAUUCAUUCCCCACCACCACGGGUUCUUCGGCAUACCUUGAUGUGUAUGCAUGAAGAAAGUAAUGUAAAAUUGUGGGCUAUCAUAGACUAAGAAGCAAGUUGAAGGGAUUAUAGAGAGAAGUCUAUUAAAGAUCAAGGUAGAGGGCGGAAAAACCAUAUAAGCUAAGAUGGAGUUAAGGAUCACAUGAAGCUAAAGGAAGGGAGAAGUCUGCACUUGGCAAAGCUUACAUGCAAUUUAGAGAAUUAUGAUUAACAUCUUCAAGUGGAAAAAGGUGGAUUUCCUUUAAUAUUGAUUCUUAGUUAUGGUUAGUUAGAAAUGAUGCUCGCAUGUUAGUUCCAUAGAUUUUUGGUUGUUGAUGGUGUGUAAAUUCUUAGUUAUGGUUAGUUAGAAAUGAUGAUUGCAUGUUAGUUCCAUAGAUUUUUGGUUGUUGAUGGCGUGUAAAGCAUGAAAUUGAUAUGGUAGCUAAGUUAAAUAGUUUUUAGAAUUCUAGAUGAUAGAAAGGAAGUGUGAGAGACUUAUACUCGGUGUGCCUCUAUUGCUUUGGCAUUUGGUAGAGCUGGCCACUAGGAAGCCUUCUGGUCCGACCAACACCGCUCCGAGAAGAAAUAGUUGGAUGAGAGAAUUUGCGACCUGAAGCUUCAAUGGGAUAAAUACCUACAAUAAAUAAAGAAGGUUUAUACCUCCCUUAUCGGGGUGAUGAAUGCAUUACUUCCCCUGUAGCAUGUCAGUUCCCUCUCAGACCAAGUGAAUCAUCUGGUGAAGACUGUGGCAAAGAAGAACUAGGAUUUGAAUUUUGUUCAGGGCAUUUUAUGAUCUGCUCAAAGAGAGUUAGAGUCUUUGCGCUAUCAGAAUGCUUUGCUGACUCAGAAGUUGACUAAUUGUACAAGUGAUACCCUUGAUGUAGUCUCGUAGUUCUUUAAGAAUGUUUUGCAGUAAGUGGAUCACUUCCACCACCCUUUGACACUUUCUAGGGAGAAAAUCUGGCCAAAUAAAGUAUUCAAAGACAGGAAGAUCGUUUCUAUGUGGAAGUAACCCUGUAGAUAUUUUUUUAAGUACUCUUUGUAGAGUACUAUGUAGUAGAAGCAUAUGUAUAUAAAUAUAGUUAUAUUUUGACUGAAAUUCUUUAGCUUUACUUUAUACCUAUUUAAGGUGUGCUUUUUUUGGAUCUUGAGUGCAUAUGUCUGGAUCUUUGAGAACUUAUGAGGUCUUCCCUUGAAGUUAAUUAGACGUGACUGAGUCUGUUUUCGGCCAAAAGUCAGUUCCCCUUUCCUCCACUAGAUGAAAAACUAUAAGAGGUAUACAUUUGACCGACUCACCAUGACAUCUAGGUUGGAUAGCUUAUAGAUGGGGAUGGUUCGUGAUUGCCUGUUGGGAAUUGAUUAUCGUGGCCGGGCGUAUAAACCGUCUCUAGAAGUACCCAUGUCUUUUGGUAGGGAACUAAUUUCUUUAGUUAGAUGUGCAAAACGUCUCUGAUAAAACCUCUAACUUUUAGUGGGGAAUUGAUUACUUUAGUAGGUCAUACAAAACAUCUAUGACAGUACCUCUGACUUUCGGCAGGGAAUAUAUUGUUUUAGUCAGAUGUGAAAAGCAUCUCUGGCAACACCCCUAACUUUCUUUUGUCUGUGCUUUGUGGUGUGGGGAAUUGAUUGCUUUAGCCGGAUGAGUAAACCAUCUUCGACAACAUCCAUGACUUUAGGUGUAUCGGGCCUCGAUUACAAUGGCCGUACCCCAGAUCUACGGUUACUAUGCACAAUCACAAAGAAACAAAUAUUU